RNAcentral lists this long non-coding RNA (591 nucleotides) under Homo sapiens (human). RNAcentral's name for it is "HSALNT0181239". Lineage: Eukaryota; Metazoa; Chordata; Mammalia; Primates; Hominidae. The record is from RNAcentral.
GGCCUGGGCCGGGAAAGCAAGCCCCUGGUACAGGCAACACCUGCAGAGCGGAAGGGAGUGGGAGUGAGGAGGGAAUCGAGUGCUUCCGGCAGUGCUGGCUAAAUGGUGGAAGGCGCAAUGGAGCUUCUUCCUCUUACCCUCAGCAAGAACUUCAGGAACUGCUCCAGCUGAGAUCGGGAGUGGAAACAGAAAGACAGAGAGGAAGGGAAGGAGGGAGAUGGAGCAUAACUGUGCUAAUAAAAAGGGAGCCCUGAAAAGGACUCAAAACUUCCUCCUCAUUCCCAUCCUGUCACUUGCAGCAGAAACUAUUGCCUUGGGACUUGCCAGAGACCUGAAGAUUCCUGAACUCAAGCCUUGAGGGCCAUGCUGUGAGAAGCUGAAGCCGCUGGAGAGGUCCCUGUAGAAGUGCAGAGACAGAGAGGAGCAGAGGACCCAGGAGGCACCGGAAGCAGGUGUGAGGAACCAUCUUGUAAGUGGAUCCUGCCCCACAUGACACUGUGAGAUUCAGAGAUGAAUGGCCCAGCCAAUUUCUUCCCAAAUUCCUAAACCAUACAAUUGUGAGCUAAAUAAAACUGUUGUUUUAAGUCACUA